Molecule: ribosomal RNA, 292 nt
Filed under: uncultured bacterium
Lineage: Bacteria
Description: partial 16S ribosomal RNA
Rfam family: Bacterial small subunit ribosomal RNA
Source: RNAcentral
GUGCCAGCCGCCGCGGUAAGACGUAGGGAGCGAGCGUUGUCCGGAUUCAUUGGGCGUAAAGCGCGCGUAGGCGGUCGUGCAAGUCGGUUGUGAAAACCCGGGGCUCAACCCCGGGCCUGCGUCCGAUACUGCUCGACUCGAGGCAGGUAGGGGAGAUCGGAAUUCCUGGUGUAGCGGUGAAAUGCGCAGAUAUCAGGAGGAACACCGGUGGCGAAGGCGGAUCUCUGGGCCUGUCCUGACGCUCAGGCGCGAAAGCUAGGGGAGCGAACAGGAUUAGAAACCCCAGUAGUCC